UUUCAGGUUGUGCAAGAAUGCAACCGCAGAACACUAUGGAGAAGAGAAAAAAUAAUAGUGGUUUUCUAAAUAUGCACUGCAUUGUUCCUUGCAUACACCACCAAAAUAUUUGCUUCUUUAUAUAGGACUCCUCAUGUCAAAAACUCCAUUGCAGACAAAUCCCAAACACUAAAAAUCAGGAGAUCCAAAUCCAUUGAAUUUAAUGUGCCAGGAUCAAAAUCUGCUAAAUGCGACUCGAACUUCCCAGCAAAG
This 252-nucleotide unclassified non-coding RNA is filed under the name Hevea brasiliensis (rubber tree). The record is from RNAcentral. Lineage: Eukaryota; Viridiplantae; Streptophyta; Magnoliopsida; Malpighiales; Euphorbiaceae.